UUUAUUCAUUGCUAACGUUCCAAUAAAUAGAGUUAAGCUUAACAGAUCAGCUUCAACUCAGGAAACUAACUAGCCAAAAUUCAAGGAAAUAAGUUGUAACAACUUUGAAUGAGCAGAAAUACAAAACAUCAGAAAAUAAAAUAAAAAGCUUUUACUGCUGCUAUUUACUGGUUUAGACUUGGUCUAACACAAGCUAAAAACUUGGGAUUCUUCUUAGGAGUUCGCUAAGAUCUUCUUGGCCUAUCAAUACUUCCCCCGCCAAUUGGAUCCUUGUCUUCAAGGUCCAGAUAAGGAAACUGAUUACGCAGCAGUGAUGAGUCUUC
This 323-nucleotide long non-coding RNA is filed under the name Citrus x clementina. RNAcentral's name for it is "Citrus clementina (C. clementina) long non-coding RNA (CCLE_LNC001834)". Lineage: Eukaryota; Viridiplantae; Streptophyta; Magnoliopsida; Sapindales; Rutaceae. The record is from RNAcentral.